Long non-coding RNA from Hydra vulgaris (swiftwater hydra), 362 nucleotides. RefSeq lists it as uncharacterized. The record is from RefSeq and is a predicted model, not a curated record. Lineage: Eukaryota; Metazoa; Cnidaria; Hydrozoa; Anthoathecata; Hydridae.
GCAUUAUUAAUAUACUUAAUCUAUUGCAGUUAAGUAUAAUUUUUUUGAAAAAUUAAUUUUAUUUUUAAUAUUGUUUAGAUACAGAUGGAUAUAGAAUGGUGGUAUCUAAAUCUCCGAAUAGUGGCAUCUAGUACAUCUGCAUUUUGUUUUGGAAAUUUUGCAUCUGGAAGUAAUGUUUGGAGGGCGUCAUUCCUCCCUACCUUUGAAAAAAUGGAGAUCUUGUGCAUUUUGUAAUAUGGUAAAAUUUGCAAAUCAUAAUUUAUCCUUUAGGAUAUUUACAUUUUUGGAGGCAGGAAGGAAAAAACAACUUAUGGCAUAUGAAUAUUAACAAUUAGUAUUUAAAAAAAUACUUUUUUAUGAAU